This 957-nucleotide ribosomal RNA is filed under the name uncultured Actinomycetes bacterium. RNAcentral's name for it is "bacterial SSU rRNA". It matches the Rfam family "Bacterial small subunit ribosomal RNA", at positions 364 to 1336 of the family's 1533-position model. The record is from RNAcentral. Lineage: Bacteria; Bacillati; Actinomycetota; Actinomycetes.
UUGCGCAAUGGGCGAAAGCUGCACGCAGCAACGCCGCGUGAAGAAUGACGGCCUUCGGGUUGUAAACCUCUUUCAGCAGGGAAGAAGCGAAAGUAMCGGUACCUGCAGAAGAAGCACCGGCUAACUACGUGCCAGCAGCCGCGGUAAUACGUAGGGUGCAAGCAUUGUCCGGAUUUAUUGGGCGUAAAGAGCUCGUAGGCGGUCAGUCGCGUCGGAUGUAAAAUCCCAGAGCUUAACUCUGGGCCUGCAUUCGAUACGGGCUGACUAGAGUGUUGUAGGGGAGACUGGAACUCCUGGUGUAGCGGUGAAAUGCGCAGAUAUCAGGAAGAACACCGGUGGCGAAGGCGGGUCUCUGGGCAACUACUGACGCUGAGGAGCGAAAGCCGGGGAGCAAACAGGAUUAAAUCCCUGGUAGUCCACGCCGUAAACGGUGGGCGCUAGGUGUGGGGAACAUUCCACGUUCUCCGUGCCGCAGUAACGCAUUAAGCGCCCCGCCUGGGGAGUACGGCCGCAAGGUUAAAAUUUAAAGGAAUUGACGGGGGCCCGUACAAGCGGCGGAGCAUGCGGUUUAAUUCGAUGCAACGCGAAGAACCUUACCUAGGCUUUACAGUUGGGGAAUUCUGGCAGAGAUGUCAGGUCUGCAAGGGCCCCAAUACAGGCGGUGCAUGGCUGUCGUCAGCUCGUGUCGUGAGAUGUUGGGUUAAGUCCCGCAACGAGCGCAACCCUCGUCGUAUGUUGCCAGCGGAUAAUGCCGGGGAUUCAUACGAGACUGCCGGGGUCAAUUCGGAGGAAGGUGGGGAUGACGUCAAGUCAUCAUGCUCUUUAUGUCUAGGGCUGCABGCAUGCUACAAUGGCCGGUACAAAGGGCUGCGAUACCGUAAGGUGGAGCGAAUCCCAAAAAGCCGGUUUUAGUUCGGAUUGGGGUCUGCAACUCGACCCCAUGAAGUCGGAGUCGCU